CCAGACAGCCAGGAUGUUGGCUUAGAAGCAGCCAUCAUUUAAAGAAAGCGUAAUAGCUCACUGGUCGAGUCGGCCUGCGCGGAAGAUGUAACGGGGCUAAACCAUGCACCGAAGCUGCGGCAGCGACACUCUGUGUUGUUGGGUAGGGGAGCGUUCUGUAAGCCGUUGAAGGUGUGCUGUGAGGCAUGCUGGAGGUAUCAGAAGUGCGAAUGCUGACAUAAGUAACGAUAAUGCGGGUGAAAAACCCGCACGCCGGAAGACCAAGGGUUCCUGUCCAACGUUAAUCGGGGCAGGGUGAGUCGACCCCUAAGGCGAGGCCGAAAGGCGUAGUCGAUGGGAAACAGGUUAAUAUUCCUGUACUUGGUGUUACUGCGAAGGGGGGACGGAGAAGGCUAUGUUAGCCGGGCGACGGUUGUCCCGGUUUAAGCAUGUAGGCGGAGCGUUUAGGUAAAUCCGGACGCUUAUUAACGCUGAGGUGUGAUGACGAGGCACUACGGUGCUGAAG
This 505-nucleotide ribosomal RNA is filed under the name Salmonella enterica subsp. enterica serovar Enteritidis. RNAcentral describes it as "partial 23S ribosomal RNA". It matches the Rfam family "Bacterial large subunit ribosomal RNA", at positions 1085 to 1590 of the family's 2925-position model. The record is from RNAcentral. Lineage: Bacteria; Pseudomonadati; Pseudomonadota; Gammaproteobacteria; Enterobacterales; Enterobacteriaceae.